RNAcentral lists this ribosomal RNA (253 nucleotides) under uncultured bacterium. Its description in RNAcentral is "partial 16S ribosomal RNA". It matches the Rfam family "Bacterial small subunit ribosomal RNA", at positions 524 to 776 of the family's 1533-position model. The record is from RNAcentral.
UACGUAGGGUGCAAGCGUUGUCCGGAAUCAUUGGGCGUAAAGCGCGCGUAGGCGGCCCGUUAAGUCCGCUGUAAAAGUCAACGGCUCAACUGUUGAAAGCCGGUGGAUACUGUCGGGCUAGAGUACGGAAGAGGCAAGUGGAAUUCCUGGUGUAGCGGUGGAAUGCGCAGAUAUCAGGAGGAACACCUAUAGCGAAGGCAGCUUGCUGGGACGUUACUGACGCUAAGGCGCGAAAGCGUGGGGAGCGAACAGG